GAUGAACGCUGGCGGCGUGCUUAACACAUGCAAGUCGAACGAUGAAGUCCAGCUUGCUGGGUGGAUUAGUGGCGAACGGGUGAGUAACACGUGAGUAACCUGCCCUUGACUCUGGGAUAAGCCUGGGAAACUGGGUCUAAUACUGGAUAUGACUUCUCAUCGCAUGGUGGGGGGUGGAAAGAUUUAUUGGUCUUGGAUGGACUCGCGGCCUAUCAGCUUGUUGGUGAGGUAAUGGCUCACCAAGGCGACGACGGGUAGCCGGCCUGAGAGGGUGACCGGCCACACUGGGACUGAGACACGGCCCAGACUCCUACGGGAGGCAGCAGUGGGGAAUAUUGCACAAUGGGCGCAAGCCUGAUGCAGCGACGCCGCGUGAGGGAUGACGGCCUUCGGGUUGUAAACCUCUUUCAGUAGGGAAGAAGCGAGAGUGACGGUACCUGCAGAAGAAGCGCCGGCUAACUACGUG
Molecule: ribosomal RNA, 466 nt
Filed under: uncultured bacterium
Lineage: Bacteria
Description: partial 16S ribosomal RNA
Rfam family: Bacterial small subunit ribosomal RNA
Source: RNAcentral